Molecule: transfer-messenger RNA, 400 nt
Filed under: Hyphomicrobium sp.
Lineage: Bacteria; Pseudomonadati; Pseudomonadota; Alphaproteobacteria; Hyphomicrobiales; Hyphomicrobiaceae
Rfam family: Alphaproteobacteria transfer-messenger RNA
About the family: Bacterial tmRNA, also known as 10Sa RNA or SsrA, is named for its dual tRNA and mRNA-like properties. Its role is to liberate the mRNA from a stalled ribosome. To accomplish this part of the tmRNA is used as a reading frame that ends in a translation stop signal.
Source: RNAcentral
AGCCUUUUUUUUCUCGCGAUAUCCCAUUAUAUUCUCUGUGCUGGAUUCGUCCGGCUAUGGCGAUAAACGCGGUCGUAAUAAGCCGAUCGGACCCGGGGGCGGUACCCGGCGCCUCCACCAAAUGCCCGUGCGGUUAAGCCAGGCAUGGCCCAAAAACCACACUCACUUGCGCAACGCGGGCAUCUGAUGGGGGCGAAAUAGGAUCGACGAAGGUGUAAAGGACUUAGCUUUUGCUCGGCAUGGUACCGCCGUCAUCGGGCCACCAGAAUAGUUGCAAACGACAACUAUGCUGAGGCCGCUCUCGCUGCGUAAUGCAGUGCGAAAAGCCUGAAAUGAAGUCCUUAUCCUUAGCCGGGUAAGGCGCGGUUCGGAGGGCACCGGGCAACAGAAGCCCUCCACU